Symphalangus syndactylus (siamang) is the source of this 766-nucleotide long non-coding RNA. RefSeq lists it as uncharacterized. The record is from RefSeq and is a predicted model, not a curated record. NCBI's taxonomy places the organism in Eukaryota, Metazoa, Chordata, Mammalia, Primates, Hylobatidae.
GCCCCGCCCAGGUCGCUUGGGCCCUGGGUGGCAGGUUUGCGCAGCCCUGCGGCGAUUUCAAGGCAAGUGACCGGAAUGGGUCGGAAGCGCGUCCCAGUGAGUUUCAGGGAGCGUCCCUUAGGUUUCCGGGGGCGGCGUUGAACCUCCCUAGCCCCAGGCUUCCCAUCCCAGGAGACCCGCCCCUCGAGGCUCGAACGCCCCUAGCCAGGAGAGCCCCGAGUAGUGCCACUUGUGGAAGACCAGGCGCCUGUCGGAAUUAGGAACCGCACCUCCCCUUCCGCUAAGCGGUGGAAGGCCCGGCGGGUGACACGGGGCAGUGGAGCCAUGCAGCCUGUUUUACCAAAAAAGUGGAAGAACCUGGAGGGAAGUAUGAACAAUUCCAGGGACUCAUGAUGUGAGUAUGCGGCCAUGCAUUCACCCAUGUGGGUAUUUCUCAAACCUGAAUCAGAACUGUCCAUGUUUCAAUCAUUUCUAUCCAGUGAAAUCUCUAUAGAAGGCCCAAGGGGACUGAUGAGGUAUGGAGAACUUCCAGACAGCAGAACAUGUGGAGGGUUCUGGAGGAUGGCGUGCCUGGAGAGAGCGUGAAAGCUCCACACACUUUCCCGUAUGCCUUUUCUGUAAAUCCCCUUAUCUAUAUCCUUUGUAAUAACCUUCACGAUAAACCAGCAAAUGUGUUUCCAAGUUCUGUGAACCGCUCUAGCAAAUUAAUCAAACUUAAGGAGAGGGUCAUGGGAACCUCAGUUUAUAACCUUGUCGGUCAGCACAG